GCCCGAGUGAGGGAAUUGGCAGACCUGAAGGCCUCAAAAGCCUUUGUUCGAAAGGACGUGCGGGUUCGAAUCCCGCCUCGGGCACCA
Molecule: transfer RNA, 87 nt
Filed under: Acidimicrobiales bacterium
Lineage: Bacteria; Bacillati; Actinomycetota; Acidimicrobiia; Acidimicrobiales
Description: tRNA-Leu
Rfam family: tRNA
About the family: Transfer RNA (tRNA) molecules are approximately 80 nucleotides in length.
Source: RNAcentral